GGCCCUACGGGGCGCAGCAGGCGAGAAAACUCUGCAAUGUGCGAAAGCACGACAAGGUUAAUCCGAGUGAUUUCUGCUAAAGGAAUCUUUUGUUAGUUCUAAAAAUACUAGUGAAUAAGGGGUGGGCAAGUUCUGGUGUCAGCCGCCGCGGUAAAACCAGCACCUCAAGUGGUCAGGAGGAUUAUUGGGCCUAAAGCAUCCGUAGCCUGUUCUAUAAGUUUGCGGUUAAAUCUAUACGCUCAACGUAUAGGCUGCCGUAAAUACUGUAGAACUAGGGAGUGGGAGAGGUAGACGGUACUCGAUAGGAAGGGGUAAAAUCCUUUGAUCUAUUGAUGACCACCUGUGGCGAAGGCGGUCUACCAGAACACGUUCGACGGUGAGGGAUGAAAGCUGGGGGAGCAAACCGGAUUAGAUACCCGGGUAGUCCCAGCUGUAAACGAUGCAGACUCGAUGAUGCAAUGGCAUAGAGCUAUUGCAGUAUCGCAGGGAAGCCGUUAAGUCUGCCGCCUGGGAAGUACGUACGCAAGUAUGAAACUUAAAGGAAUUGGCGGGGGAGCAC
RNAcentral lists this ribosomal RNA (559 nucleotides) under uncultured Nitrosopumilales archaeon. RNAcentral describes it as "bacterial SSU rRNA". It matches the Rfam family "Archaeal small subunit ribosomal RNA", at positions 319 to 879 of the family's 1478-position model. Lineage: Archaea; Thermoproteati; Nitrososphaerota; Nitrososphaeria; Nitrosopumilales. The record is from RNAcentral.